RNAcentral lists this ribosomal RNA (450 nucleotides) under uncultured bacterium. Its description in RNAcentral is "partial 16S ribosomal RNA". It matches the Rfam family "Bacterial small subunit ribosomal RNA", at positions 354 to 796 of the family's 1533-position model. The record is from RNAcentral.
GUGGGGAAUAUUGGACAAUGGGCGAAAGCCUGAUCCAGCCAUGCCGCGUGUGUGAAGAAGGUCUUCGGAUUGUAAAGCACUUUAAGUUGGGAGGAAGGGCAGUAAGUUAAUACCUUGCUGUUUUGACGUUACCAACAGAAUAAGCACCGGCUAACUUCGUGCCAGCAGCCGCGGUAAUACGAAGGGUGCAAGCGUUAAUCGGAAUUACUGGGCGUAAAGCGCGCGUAGGUGGUUCAGCAAGUUGGAGGUGAAAUCCCCGGGCUCAACCUGGGAACUGCCGCCAAAACUACUGAGCUAGAGUACGGUAGAGGGUAGUGGAAUUUCCUGUGUAGCGGUGAAAUGCGUAGAUAUAGGAAGGAACACCAGUGGCGAAGGCGACUACCUGGACUGAUACUGACACUGAGGUGCGAAAGCGUGGGGAGCAAACAGGAUUAGAUACCCUAGUAGUCC